GGAGAGAUGGCCGAGUGGUCGAAGGCGCACGCCUGGAAAGUGUGUAAUCGUCAAAAGCGGUUCAUGGGUUCGAAUCCCAUUCUCUCCG
RNAcentral lists this transfer RNA (88 nucleotides) under Bacteroidota bacterium. RNAcentral describes it as "tRNA-Ser". It matches the Rfam family "tRNA". Rfam says of the family: Transfer RNA (tRNA) molecules are approximately 80 nucleotides in length. Their secondary structure includes four short double-helical elements and three loops (D, anti-codon, and T loops). The record is from RNAcentral. RNAcentral also lists the same sequence under 2 other names. Lineage: Bacteria; Pseudomonadati; Bacteroidota.